RNAcentral lists this ribosomal RNA (503 nucleotides) under uncultured bacterium. RNAcentral describes it as "partial 16S ribosomal RNA". It matches the Rfam family "Bacterial small subunit ribosomal RNA", at positions 30 to 523 of the family's 1533-position model. The record is from RNAcentral.
AUUGAACGCUGGCGGCAGGCUUAACACAUGCAAGUCGAGCGGGGUGAUGGUGCUUGCACUAUCACUUAGCGGCGGACGGGUGAGUAAUGCUUAGGAAUCUGCCUACUAGUGGGGGACAACAUCUAGAAAGGGAUGCUAAUACAGCAUACGUCCUACGGGAGAAAGCAGAGGAUCACUUGUGACCUUGCGCUAAUAGAUGGGCCUAAGUCGGAUUAGCUAGCUGGUGGGGUAAAGGCCUACCAAGGCGACGAUCUGUAGCGGGUCUGAGAGGAUGAUCCGCCACACUGGGACUGAGACACGGCCCAGACUCCUACGGGAGGCAGCAGCGGGGAACAUUGGACAAUGGGGGGAACCCUGAUCCAGCCAUGCCGCGUGUGUGAAGAAGGCCUUAUGGUUGUAAAGCACUUUAAGCGAGGAGGAGGCUCUUUUGGUUAAUACCCAAGAUGAGUGGACGUUACUCGCAGAAUAAGCACCGGCUAACUCUGUGCCAGCCGCCGCAGUAA